UUUCGGACAACGUUGUCCGAGAGAACGGGACGUGUGUGUGCUCAGUUGGAAGGUAUCGUUCGUCGCGAAGAGACUACGCGGGCUGCGCAUUCGGGGGCACGCUCCAUUACGAUAGGCUAAACAACGCGUACCGCGAGAACGGGAUUCACGCGAGAUAUAGGUACCUACUUGGUGAUACAUACCCAACAAAGAGGGAGGCUUUGAGAAGCCGCUUCAGCGAUCGCUGUUGGUUAAGGCCAUAGUCCACGAGAGUAUAUUGGCCUGGGUUCCGUUGCCGCGUGUAUUUGUGCGAUCCGCAGUCGCAGUGAACCGUAGACGGAAAUGGACUGAGGAGCUUUUUCGCGUUCGUCGCUUGCUGGUGGUUGGAAUUUCAUCACUUUUUGCUAAGCCGUCUAUCUUAGCAGCCUAAGUCGCUAACUUUAGGUUGAGGUGCGUGAUGUAGAACCCAGAUGAUAGCGCGGUUUCUAGUUCUCGCCGAUUAGCAGGAUCAGAUAAGUGAACGUGAACGUGAAAUUUGGGUCGGAAGAGCAAAUGAAAUUCAAGAAGGCAAAUAUAUACGUACCAAUCGAGAGAAUACACAGGUGCAUGAAUGUGUGUAGCAGCGUGGUCUGCUGUGUGCUGUGAAACGUCGACAACGAA
This is a long non-coding RNA of Aedes aegypti (yellow fever mosquito), 639 nucleotides long. RefSeq lists it as uncharacterized. Lineage: Eukaryota; Metazoa; Arthropoda; Insecta; Diptera; Culicidae. The transcript has 2 exons. The record is from RefSeq and is a predicted model, not a curated record.